UCAAAGUAAAGCUAAAUUAGUAUAGUAUUUCACUUACGUUGAAAAGAGUUAUCGUGCAAAUCGAUUUGCUUUGAG
Molecule: transfer RNA, 75 nt
Filed under: Xenophthalmus pinnotheroides
Lineage: Eukaryota; Metazoa; Arthropoda; Malacostraca; Decapoda; Xenophthalmidae
Description: tRNA-Val
Rfam family: tRNA
About the family: Transfer RNA (tRNA) molecules are approximately 80 nucleotides in length. Their secondary structure includes four short double-helical elements and three loops (D, anti-codon, and T loops). Further hydrogen bonds mediate the characteristic L-shaped molecular structure. tRNAs have two regions of fundamental functional importance: the anti-codon, which is responsible for specific mRNA codon recognition, and the 3' end, to which the tRNAs corresponding amino acid is attached (by aminoacyl-tRNA synthetases). tRNAs cope with the degeneracy of the genetic code in two manners: having more than one tRNA (with a specific anti-codon) for a particular amino acid; and 'wobble' base-pairing, i.e. permitting non-standard base-pairing at the 3rd anti-codon position.
Source: RNAcentral